CGCAAGGCCGUAUGGCAAUGGUGAGUCUACGAAUCGUGUCAGAUCCGGAAGGAAGCAGCACUAAGUUGAUUUCGCCAUGUGCUGUAUGUACAUAGAGAAAA
Molecule: signal recognition particle RNA, 101 nt
Filed under: Carnobacterium maltaromaticum
Lineage: Bacteria; Bacillati; Bacillota; Bacilli; Lactobacillales; Carnobacteriaceae
Description: SRP_bact
Rfam family: Bacterial small signal recognition particle RNA (bases 7-93)
About the family: The signal recognition particle (SRP) is a universally conserved ribonucleoprotein involved in the co-translational targeting of proteins to membranes. Archaeal SRP consists of a 7S RNA and homologues of the eukaryotic SRP19 and SRP54 proteins.
Source: RNAcentral